UUUUUAAACCUAUUAAAUCAAUCAGUUCACGUCGAGUUAAUUUUCGUACAGAUUAAUUUUUCUGCAACAGCUUGAUCUAUCUGAACGACAUGAAAAGCUAGCAGCCAGAAGUGAAAAACCAACAACAAUUUCAAACAAUUACUUUAUUCCUGCUAAAGGAAAGAAUUUUUUUUUCUUCACUUUUAAUGAGAAUGAAGGCAUGAGAUUUCGAGAAUACAUUAUUCAUUGGAUAUGAAAAGUCAUAAUAUUCCAGAUUUUUCUGAAUUAAGAUUGCUAUUUAUAAUUGUUUUCGUUAAUAAUUAUCUAAACGAAUUUGAAGUCCGAUUCAGCCAUGCACGGAAUAUUGAUGGUGUUUAUCACGUUUUGCGCCAGAAAUACACUAUUAAAGUGUCUUCUGAAAAUUUCCAUGUGCCACGAUGGUGCACUCACUUUUUCCUGAAAGGAUGAGCCUACACCCCUGGCCUAAAUGAAAAGCCUUGAGACGCACAAGCCUAGAAAGCUAGCCUUGCAGGCCUAGUUUUCUUCUGUUUUUUAAAUGGGUGAGUGACACUUUUUGUCGCCACCUCUAUUUUUCUAAAAUAGAAUUUCAUUCAAAUUCUGACCUCUAAAUUCUUGGACCACCAUUAUAAUUCAAAUCUCAACUUGUCUUGAACUAAAAUAUCUUAGAUAUUUUAAUAAAAUUAUUUUUAAUCUAAAAAUACAUUUAAUUAAUGUAAAAAUUACAAAUCAAAAUAAAAUUAACAAGUCACAAUCUAUUUAUAUAUAUAUAUAUAUAUAUGUUUAAAUGUUAAAACAACUUUCAUUGAACUCUCAUCUCUGAAACAAAAGUCAUUGACAUCAGCAUCGUUAUUUUUAUGAUUAAAAUAUGGCCGAUCACACUUUUUCUUUAUUUAUUUUUUAUUGACUUUUUAUCUCUUCUCUUAAUAUUGAGUGACUAAAACAUGAUAAAAAUAAAGUUUAUAAUCAAACUGUAAAAACUUAAAAUAAUAAGGACUAAAUAUGCAAAAAUUAAAACUUUAGGGACUAUAUUGAUUUUUUCCAUGCCUUUUGAACAAUGUAAAUGAAAAGGGCUUGUUUUUAUGUUAAUUUUGGUUAUUUUUCUUUCAUUUUUUUAACAAUAACCUAAAUCUUUAUUUGUAAAUUUCAUCUUUAAUUUAACAUUGAAAUAUUUUUAGUCAUUUUGGAUACACUCGAGCAUGCAAAUCGAAGUUGAUUCCAACAUGUAAAACCAUGUUAAGGUGACAUUGAAAAAAAAUAAAAUUUAACUAUAGUGCAAAAAAAUUCAAGGAUCAAAAAGAUAAAAAAUUUUGCUAUUAAUAACGAAAUGUGAGAGAAUAGUUAUUAAAACUUAAAAGUGUGUUUUAGUUUAUUGUAUAAUUUAAUCUAAAAAUAGAAUAUAAAUUACUGAGAAUUUCUUAUUUUUAUGAAUUUACCGAUCCAAGUAUAAAUAACUUAGAACUUAAAAUAAUAAUAAUAAUAAUAAUAAUAAUAAUAAAAGAAGUAAGUUGCAAAAUAGGCGUAAUUUCAGGUCCAAGCCCCUUGCAAUGAUGCCUACAAGAAGGGGCCAGAUAAUCUGAUUAAGGUUCAUAACACUUUAGGAGGCCCAGAAGUCUAUGAUGUUUUUCAACAGAAUAUAAACUCUUAAGCAGAAGUUAGGAUUCAGUUCACCUCCGUCUCUGACUCCCAAUCCACAACAGCAAAAGCUAAGAUUCUUUCUUGACAUGAUGAUCAGUUUUUCGCAACCUGUUUGCAGAGUACCGAGUUCACUAAUCCCUGUUUCCUAUGUGGGUUCUUCUUAUUUCUUGCAAAAUCUUCCAAAAGACCCAUGUAGAGUAGGCAAAGAUUUCUACUUCACAGAAAAAACAAGACUUGGUGGUUGCAAGAGGAAAAGGAGGGUAGUUUGUGGUGCUGGUUUGAUGUUUCCAGUUGAUCCAUGGGCACCUAACAUUGACUCACAGAGCAUUGCCUCACAGCUGUUUGCAUUCUCUUUGUUUCCUUACAUUGGUUUCUUGUACUUCAUUACCAAAUCCAAGACUGCUCCUAAGCUCACUCUCUUUGGUUUCUACUUCUUGCUUGCCUUUGUUGGGGCUACCAGUGAGUUUCUUUGGCCAUAUUUGUGCUUGCAGUUUUCUUGUUUGUUAUUUUGAUGCUUGAAAUUAUUGAAUUGAGGAAUGAGGUGGAUUUUGAAGUUUUAGGAAUUUUUAGUUAAUUUGUUGGAUUAAUGUAGAAAUUAGUAAAAAAUUGAACUGUCUGGAGAUACCCUUUUCCUCUCUUUACUAAAACACGUCCUUUCGUGUUCUCAUAUGGCCGAGGACUAGAAGUGUUUGUGAAUGGGGGAUUAAGGGCAACAGCCAAACAGGUUCCAUUAAAAAGAAGAGAUCUUUUCAUGCAACGCACAUUGUAUUUGUGCCAUUAAUGAUAUAUAAUAUCGUAUUGUAGGAUCAGAACUUGGGGAUUAACCUAAUAUGUUGAUGAAUAAUAUUGGUGGAUUUUUAAACAUUGUUCCUUUUGCAUGAAAUUUUCCCUGACUAGGUUUAUAAUUCUUGUUCUGCCAUUUUUCGAAUGUCUUCUGUUGUCAGACAGCUUGUUUUAUCUAUACUGACUUUCUUCCUAAUGGUUCUUUGGUUGCUCCACAUCUGUUGAGCAGUCCCAGCAGGAAUUUAUGGUAACUUCUCCCACUGUAUAGGAUUUAAUUUGAACAUCAAUCAGCUUUAUUAUUCAUGCCUUCCCUAACUUUCUAGUGGGACUUAUGUUUGCAUGGUUGAGGCAGCAAAGGUGCAUUAUGGUACUUCCUUGUCUAAUGUGGAUUGGUUGCAUGGAGGAGCUGAGUCACUUCUCACCCUAACCAACUUAUUCAUUGUCUUGGGGCUAAGACAAGCUAUUAGGAAUGAAAAUGCCCCCGAAAAAAGUUCAUCAGAUCCUGUUUCAGAAAUCGAAGAGGAAAAGAAACCUUCUGUCUAGGUAAUUUAUUCAAUCACGAUAUCUCCUUCACUUUGCAAACAUCGAUUAGUGAUCUCUCUCUACUUCCAUGCUCUUACUCCAGAUGGAUGUUCGAAUGGUCCAUACUUAUGCAGUCCUUGUUACUUAUGCUCUGCUUCUGGUCAGCCACAAGUACCUGUGCAUUAAGGCUUCAUUCCAGCCGAGUGCUGGAGAUACUGAUUCAUUGCAAAACUGUUACAAGGAAUCAUAAGUAUUCAGCUUAGCGUUUUGUACAUCGUGUAUUUUUCUUGUAAGGAACCGUCUUGAUCUGUGGUCCAUUUUCUUUUGGAAUCUUCAUCAGUUGGGUGAUUUCCUAUGAAUGACAGAAUGUAUUUGUGAGCUAUCGUGUAAAAUCGACAUAUAAUAGGUUCGUAUGCAAACAAGAGUGGUUUGUACAUUUUUCUGUGCUGUCUCUGCGUGAUCGUUAAAUUUAUUCUUGUUUGCGAUGCUUCUAAGUGUUUUUCCUUGUUUUCUUUUUUGGUCCUAGAAGUCAACAUGCAGUGGCCUCUAAUCUACUGCUGAAUUGUCUUUCGAGGUUAUAUAAGCAUAUGUUAUGUUAAUGGAAGUUUUAGUUAGUAGCAAUACAAUUACUGAUGUUAUUUAUAGGAACUUCAAAAUUUUUCAAUGCUGCCAUAGCUAAUCCUAUUUUACAUGCAUCCUUUCCUCAUUUAUAAUACAAGCUAGGUUCUACAGGCGAAACCAGCCAGAGUGUUGGAUUGCACACAAAUGCAGCACUUUCUCAUUUCUUAUUGUGGAGUGUCUGCAUGAAAUUAUGAGAAAAAUCCAGGUGUGUCGAACGGAAAGUUGGGGUCUAACUCCACUUGAUCAAGUGAGAAAUCCAAGUCCACAAUUGGAGAAUUGGUCGCUGACGUGUUGGUUGAGAUUAUCUCAGUGAAAUCCGAUUCCAGAUGCUGCAAAUUAUAUGCUCCUACAAAAUUGUUCAUCUGGAAUGGUGAAACUGAGUAGUGAGUUGGUUCAGGUGUAGCUGGAGAUAUAAACGACGGAGAAUAACUGCUCACAUUCUUUGAGCAUCCGUAUGCAGAGGGAAAAGAGAAGGGAGAUACCAUCUCUUUAUUGUCCAAGUCCUCAGUAAUAACCUUUAGGCUAUUUUGGAAGUUAUAGAGGGCUUGCUGUGACUGCUGUUGUUGAUAGUUGUUAUUGGUAUUCUUUUGUUUCUUUUCUUGUUUUUCUGGUGAUGAUGGUGAUGGAAUCGAUUGGUUUCCAUGAGCGCAGGUGUGCGUUCCUCGGUAUGUGAUCUCAAAUAUGGUGGGAUCUUCAUCUGAUCUCUGCACUUGCUUUGUAGCCCAGCAGUUCUGAGUAUUUCUGUAGGUGCACCUGUAAUAGCUUCUGCACAUGUAACAAUCUCUCAUUAGAUGUCUAAACUAUAUAUAGCAAGAUGAGAUGACUGUUGAAACAUAUAAUUUUUUGUAUAAUUUAAGUUUUGAGUGCUUGGUUGGUGACACAUACUUUCAAUGUCAUCAAGCCCUUGCUGUGAGAAACUAGUGACACGAGUCAGUUUCAAGUUCUUUUACUCGUGCUCUUAGUUACUGUUAAGCCGUAAAGUAUACAGUCACAAGUGGUGGCAUUUGUAACUUUCCAAGAAAGAAGAGAGAAAGGACUAGUCACCUGGGAUAUUUUGCUCCUAAAAUAUCUUUCUGCCCGUAUUUUCUCCAGCUAUAGCCAUCAUCAUGAGGACCCUCAAGUCCAUUCUCAGGACUGACUCUAACAUGAUCUGUCCAUCUGGGAGUGGUCUUUCUGCAAUCCAAAUCGGAAAACAUUUUACAAGAAGCAUUAGCACAACUGAAAUGGACAUAAUCUUCUAGCAACAUGCAAGAGUUGUAACAGUAAACCACAAGUUCACCUCUUCUUUGAGGCCUCAUUAUAACCCUGAUUAUCCUUAACACCCCCAUCGAACUCGUCACUUCGUGAGCUUCCAUUAAUGGAUAUGGGGGACUCUGGAACACCAGCGGAGACUCCAACACUUUGUGGCUGUCCCAUUGACCCACCCCAGUUGAGAAUCAAGAGAGCCCUCUCAUAAGAAGCUAGUAUCCUCUGUAAUAACUCGUCCCUACUUUCAACUGACGAUGUUGCAUUCAAAUGAGCUCUUAACUGUUUUGCUAGUUCCAUACCUUGGACUAGCUCAGCAAUCAAAGUCUGUUGCUCCCAGCACAAACCACUCUCCAUUUUGUAUACCUCCCUUAAAAGUUACCACAAGCAACACAAUUAUGCUUCUUGCUAGCUCUAAAAUGCUAAAACUUGUUGUCCAGCAAAGCAGUAUUAGCACAUUUUCUACACCUGUAACAUUUGGUUGCUUAGAAGCAAAAACUUUCCUCCUAGCAGGAAAAGUAAGAAGAGCAGAAGAUUCUGGAAUGACCAAGAUGGUAUAGAGCUAGAAGCUAAAAACAUAGAAGUAGCCAGAACUAGAAUUAAUUUUUUCUGUGUACUGGUGAAAAGAGGUAAGGAUGUAUAUAUCUGUAAAUGAGUGAAGCUUUAGCUGAGGAAGCUUUGUAUUUAAAGAGAAAAGCGGAGGUUUGGAAUGAGGAUGAGAAAAACUGAAGGGAGAGAGAGGUAUAUAUAGAUUGGAAGGUAGAAAGUUUGAAGUUUGACUGAGAAAACGAGUUUUUCAGCUUAGACUAGUCUCUGGUCAUAAGAGAAGACAGAAAAGAGAGUGUGUGUGCGUAAAAUAGUAUGUGGAGGUCCAAGUGCUGACCAAUUCUACCCUUCAAACACUUCGAAGAAAAGGGUCUCUUUACUUUCCAUUGGUUUGUGGCUUUGUGCUUUAGGGAAUGAAUGGAUGAUUGAAGUGUAGACUCAGUUAGAAACUACCAAAAGUCAAAGUCCAAGCUACGAGGGAAGAGUGGACAAAGAAUUUUCAACCCCAUUCCGCGUCAUCUGUUUAAUAUUUAGUAGGUCCAAAGUACUGGAGAUCCCGAGUGCUGUAUCUAUAUAUAUAUUCUCUCCAAAACUAACAUUUAAGUUGGUUUUUUAGCUGCUGGUUUAGCUAUUCUUUCUGUUUGAUAUUGUGAUAUGUGAUGUUUCUUCAUGUAUCUAUAAAUAUAUACUUGUAAUUGUCAUUAAAUCAUGAUCUGCAGAAAAAUAUAUCAGAGUAAAAACUCUAACCCUACUUCUCUCUAAUAUAUUAGGUCUAAUCCAGCGAAGCAUUGGUGGAUUAGAAAAGGUGGGAUAAGCUUAAACAGUGUAUUGUUUUUUCUCUUGUCCAUAUGUGUAUUUCCUGUGAACGCGUUUUUGGUGGAAAAUAAUAAAAUGCAUUAUCCAAAGACUCCAUGGCCCCAAGAUGUUUUCUGAUUGCCAAGAAGAGAUCAGCAUCGUUAAAUUAUAAAUCAAUCCUUCUGAUUUAUCAAAAUAAAUUAAUAACUCCCUCUACUUUAAGAAAUCAUUUAAUAGUUCAUUGGCUGUUAAACAGAUUUGUUAGUUUUAUUAUCAAUACCCAAAACUACCUCUUAAUUCUUGGAUAACUAUCGACUGAAACCAGUUGUUAAUGUACAGUGAUUAAAAUAUAAGGGAUUAACUGUAAUAUUGUAAAAUUACAAGGAGUUUGUUGCACAAUUUGUAAGAAUUAAGGACUGCAUGAUAACUCUUACUACAAGUUCCAGCAGCCUUCUUCUUCCUUGGGCUGCUGCUGUUCAGGAUCAAAUCACCACCCCUCCAGCCUCAAAACCACGCCAAAUCAUCAUCAGAUCAAUUAUUUUCGUCUUCCGAACAAUGCUGCAAUAGUGAAAAAAGAUUUAAAAGCUCAAAUUAAACAUAAAAAUUUAAGAUUUUCAAGUUUUAAAACAUGUAAAUUAACUAGUUUUUAGGUACAAAUUUGAUAUUAAUGAACUCUUGAAGAUGAAGAGCUUAAUUUGAUUGUGGUUUUUCCUUUGGUGGUGAAUAGAUGAUUAAGAACUAAUUGUAUCUCUCUUUUCUUUCUCUUUGUUUUUUCUUUGUUGAGUUGUUGCUGUGAUGAUGGAGCAAAGAGAAGAGGAAGGAAGAAGAAGCAGAGGGAAAGGAGAGGAGAAAAGAAAGGAGAGAAAGGCAAAGGAAAAGAUAAAGAGAGAAAAUGAUAAAAAAAAUUUUGUGUUUGGUAUUUUGUUUAAAGUAUUUUUUAUUUAAAAAUAUAUUAAAAUAAUUUAUAUAUAUUAAUAUUAACAUAUUAAAAUCAUAAAAAAAAAAACACAAAAAAUACAUUUAAAAACAAAAACCAUUUAACUUCCAAACACUCACAUGUGUUUUUGAACAACAAACCAAUAGAAUGGUAAGUCAACCUAAUGAAAAAAAUAAAAUAAAAGUUAAUAAUAAAUUAGUACCUAUAUUUUUUUUAAAAUGAAUUAUUUAGUCCCUUUAUUAUGAAAAAUAAUUAAAUAAUUUUUAUGUUGUUUCGUCAACAAUACAGUCCCUUGUCAAUUCUUUGUUAAUAAAUUGAGAAGCUGUGUGCAUUCGAAUCACGGUAGGCUUGUCCCAGACAGGCUUUUUUUCGAAUGGGUAAUGGCCGAACUAUAGAUAUGAGUGGCUCUCCUCUUUUUUUUUUUUUUUUUUUUUUUUGAAGCACCAGUCUUUAUAUAUAUUUACUGGAGUGGUGACUAAUGUUAUGUUGUGGGCUGAGUUUUUUUAAAAACAAAUUGAAUAAAAAUGUUUAGAUGAUGAGCUUGAUUGUUACUUAAUUCAGAAUAUAGGAUUGAAAUAAUUAUGUAAAAAUAAUUAUAAAAUUUAAGGUCUAAUAAUUAAAUGUCAAAAGAUAAAAGUAAAAAUAAUCAAUUUUAAAAAAAAUAUAUUGAAGAAAAAAACCCAAGUCAAUCCGGGUUAACCUUACGAACUCACCAAACAGGAUAUGAGAUUGGAAUUAAAAAAAUAAAUUUUAAAAAAGAUCUAGAAAAAAAAACCGAAGUUAAAUCAAUAAAAACAAUGAAAAUACCUCGAGCCAACACGUAUUAACUUGACUAACCUGAACCCAAAAUAACCCCGCAUAAAAAAAAAGUGAAAAAAAUCACAAAGCUUAAAAAUUAAUAAUUUAAUAUCAAAUGAUAAAAUUGAAAAAAAAAACCCGAGUAAACCCAAACUAACUCAAUUAACCCGCGAUCAAAGAUAUGAGAUAGGGAUAACUCAAUUAAAAAAAAAAGUAAAACAAAUCAUGAAGCUCAUAGGCCACAAUAACUCAAUGUUGAAUAAUAAAAAUAAUAAUUUUUAAAAAGAUCUUAAAAAAUAUUGAACUGAGUUAAUCUUCGAAAUCAGUGGACCAAGUUAUGAGACCGAAAUUACUUUGUAGAAGACAAAUAUGAAAAAAUUAUAAAGUAAAAUUCUCAAUCAUAAAAAAUUAAAAAUCAAAAUAAAUAAAAAUAAAAACAAUAAGGACUAAAUCUUGUUAAAAAAUAAUUGAAAUAAAAUAAUUAAAAAUUAAAUUGAAAAACAAAAAAAAUCAAGAAAUGAAUAAAAAAAUAAAAAAAAUCAAAAUUAGAAACAAAAUCUUUUAGGAUGUGCGUGCAGAGUUAACUAGGAGGGAGAGAGUACAGGGAAAAAAAAAAGAUUUUGUUUUCCCAAGAUAGAACAAUUCUUUUACCUCUAAAUUCUAAUAACUCAUCAGAUGAUUUGGUUGUUCAUGGCAUCGAAACUAGCUGUGUGAUGACAUUGCAGCGGUUGUUCCAUGUCAACUGGAUAUUUCUUGAACUUUUUACGGUUUCAAAUUUUGCGCUAAUUUUAAUGGAUUUUUUACUUUUAAUUUUAAUUAUAUAAUAAAAAAUAAUACUAACUCAAAAUCAAUCUAAUAUUAAAAAAUAAAUAAUAAAAAUUGAUCAAAAACCCAAUGUUAAUUUUUUUUAAAAUAAGAGCUAGAUGAGUGAGUUUGAGUGGCUCGGCGUAUCAAGGAUUUAAAGAAAAAACUCAGACACGUGGACCUAGGUUAGACUUGUGCUCCAUAGCUAUUUAUAUUUAUUUAUAUAUAUAUAUAAAAUAGACAGCAUUCUAUUUAUUUUUUUUAAAAAAAUAAAUAGUUGACUUGUCGCGUGCUAUUACCUUACUUAGAAUUUAACCACUGCUAUAGUGGUUGAAAAAUUACUAAACAAUGUUUAUGAGUUAUUUUUCAAUAUAUUUUCAUCAAAUAUAUAUAAUAAACAUAGUAAAAACCUUCCUAAAUAAAAAAAAAAAACCCCAAAAUCACUCAAGAAAUCAAAAUUCAAUUGAACCCAUAAAAUUAAAAGGGAACUUGAUCUCAUUUUCCAUGCAUGUUGAUAGGAAAAGCUCAUCAUCAUCAAACUUUUCUCAUCGAAUGAAGUUUAUAUACACCAAACUAGAUCAUUUUUGUUGCUAGUAUCACGAUAACCAACUAUUUUUUUUUUUUUAUCUCUUUUGUUGUUUUCCAACAACUUUUUGUCUUUUUUUUUCUAACUUAUGGAUCGGAAAAAUAAACCAGAAAAAUAAAUAAAAAUAAAUUUUUGGAUCAAAAUAAAACUUGUUGUAAAUUAGGGGUGAGCAAUGUAUUUUUUCCGCUAUAUGCAUCUCAAUCUUCUAUAAUUAAUUUUAUAUUUUUACUAUAAUUUAUAACCUAAUUUCAUAUAAUUAGACUAUAAAAAGAUGCAAUUAAAGGGAAAUUUAAAAAAAAAACUAUGCAAGAAGUUCACUUUUCUUCAUAUAAACAGUGACAGCUCUCCAGUUUUUUUUUAGUUUUUGUUAAUAAUCAUAGGCUGGUUAUGAAAAACCUCUGCUUGAACUUAGGAUCAGAACGAAACACAAUGACUUGUGCGUUUUGGAGACGAUGUUUUUCACGGCUUAAUUAAUUUUUUUUUUUUAACUCCAAUGAUUCAAAAGUCGAAUCAAAUCGUGAUAGGUAAUAUCUAAAUCGAAAAAAAAAAAAUUCAACUUAAAUAAUUGGUAUAUUUAUAUUAGAUCAGGGCUCCAGUAGAUUUUAAUUUUACAAUUAAUUGGUAUGGUGAUAGCUCCACUAAGCGAAUCGAGUAAUCAAAAAGCCUAGACUAGUCUAGAGUUUCUCAAAUGGGAUCCCAACAGGGCUUCAUGCUAAGUUUUUCAUUUCUCUGAAAAGAUUAUUUCCUUUGCUUCUGGUGUGACUAUACAGUUAGUGGACAUUCAAGGGCAGAGUUUUCUAGCUAGCGUUGAGCUUAGAUUCCAAAUUUCCGUCCUCGAUUCAAUAAAUUUGUCUGAUGGGGAACAAUACUGCCAUAUGGACGUGACAUUAACCAAAACAUAGAUAUGGAAUUUAUUCAUCAAGAAAUGGGCAUAAAAAAUGGCAAUGCUCUGCAUUUUUUCCCCACAGAGAGAAUAUGUGCUGUCUAUACCCCAUAAUGCAAAAGCAGAUUCAAAGCAGCAUAAAGUGAAAGAAUCCCACUCACUCCAUGCCUAUAUAUACGUGCUUCAGAAUUGCCUUCUAGCACCAAGCGAACAGAAAGAGAGCCUCAAGAGAAGUCUUACACUAAAACCAACAAGCCCUCUUUGCCCAACUUGCAAUGGCCUCGUGUCAGUGCUCCAAACCCGUUGAGCAUCCAUGCAACCAAGACCAGAAAAGCCACUCAUCGGGCCAAAAGGUAGAGAAACAGGCUGAAGGUGGAGUCGUCAAGACCGGGACUCGCAGCUCAAGCCAAAGCCAUUCCCCUGGAAGCACUAAUGGCAUGACCCCUGCUCCGGCAUGCAAUGCAAACAAGAGAGGUGAGCGCAAGAAGGGUCUGUUCCAAAGGAUCAAGGAUGGCAUCUCAGGCCAUAGUGAUGGAGGCGGCAGCAGCAGCAGCAGCGAGAGCGAGAGCGAUGAUGAGAAAUGUGGUAAACGAAAGGCAAGUACUGUUCCUAUUAUUUUGUUAACAAAUAUAUAUUGGCACUCACGCAUGAGACCGCACGGGCAUACAUACUAACAUGUAUAAGUUUCUUUGAUACUCUGCAGAAUUGAUGGGCAAAAUCAGAUAUUGAUGGUUUCCCCAUAUCUACAAGGAAAUAAAGAGAUGCCAUAUGGGAUAUGGUGAUUACUUUAGAAAGGAAUAAAGUGGCUUCACGUACGAUAAUCAUGAUGUAAUCUUAUACUAUUAUUAUUAUUAUAUGAAUAAAAGGACAAGUCAUGAUUAAAUAUGCGGGCUUGCUUCUAAUAAUCAAUCUGAGCACAGUAUUGCUUGAUCUAUGACCAGAAGAAUAAUCCGCCCGUACCAAGAUAGCAUAAGCAGAGAAUAAAAUGAACCGUUGAGGCCUCGAGGCUAGACGGAAGAGACACUGGGUUUGAGUCUCAGCAUGCAUGCAUGUUAUUCCUGUGGUGUCUUACCUGUUUAUUGGGCUUGCAGGGUGUUCAGUGAAUCUGGGAAUUAGUUGUGGUGCGCGUAAGCUGACCCGGACACCCCGGAUUAAAAAAAAAAAAAUGAAGCGUUGAGUUUUUUAAAAAUGGUCGCAAACAAGAGAUUUUGCAACAAAUGCACCACAACACUUAGCUAGCUAGAAGUUCUAAUGGCCAAACAACGUGGUUCUUACAACAAUUUAUGCAUAUUCACUGACCCCUCUGAGCAAGCCCAUGUUUUCUCAUCCAACGGCAGAGAAACAAGCAUUGGCACAAUUUUGGCCUUCAUUAAUGUUAAUAAAAUUUAUCCUCUAGCAUACAAAUAACUACAGAUAUCUUGGGAUAAUUAAAAUCUAGACCAGCCCUGUUUCCACCAAUCCUAAGCCCAAGUCUGUAUGAGAAAUGGCCGACGCCACGACCAAGCCCAUGGAAUGGUCUAAAUCGGUAGAAAGGCAUCUAACCAUUUUUGUUCUUUGAUUGGGAGCUAGAGAGGAAUAAAUAUUGCUCUAGAAGGUCGAGUAUAUUAGUGUUCCUAGCUAUGGCAGCAGCAAUUGAGAGAGAGAUUGAUUAUACUAAUAAAAAUAAAUAAAACAAUCACUUCUUUUCAUCCCAGAUGAAUUUCAAGCGGUCUUGUUGAGUCUUUAAUGAUUACUUAGUUUCAAGUUAGAAAUAGGUCCAAAUGAAUGUUGAAGUGGGCGAGAGUUAUAAAACAGAUUACAAAUCUAUAAUUUGGCAGCAAUUAUUUUGUUUCUUAAAUUAGUUAUAUCUGGGAUUUACAUUUAGGUCAAAUUUUGAAUGAAAAAUGCUUUUUACAUGAUAGAUGCGAUAAAUGACUGGUUGAACAUAAAAAUAAUAAUUGCUGCAUGCUUGUAUGAUUUAUUUGUAAAUAUAGCAUUGCUAUUUUCGAAUUUGUCUUGGUAUUUAUGUUCGAUUGCUACGGCCCUUUGCCAAGAAAUUAUAAGAUCUGAUGGAAACUCAUUCAUGAUACAAACUGGAUCUUACCAUUUCCGAUCCAACAAUUAAAUGCCCAAGGUAUAAACCCUAAAGCAACGAGGAUAUAUGAAGACACCACCAUUGCCGGUGGGAGAGAAUUCAGGAGCUUUUCUUCAUCCUAUCAGCCCGUCACAGAAUACUGGGCCAGAUCUAGACUCUGUAGACAUGAUGCAGCUCAAGUCACAAUCUGUUCUCAGCUUCAUUAUUUGAGACCUUAUAUAGUUAAUACUAUAUUUAACCAAACAAGGCAUCAACAGCUUCUGUUAAGGAAGGCGCCCUAGGUUAGAAGUGAAUUUAGACAACUAACCAUACAAGACAAAACCAAACAAGGCAUCAACAGCUUCUGUUAAGGAAGACGCCCUAGGUUAGAAGUGAAUUUAGACAACUAACCAUACAAGACAAAACCAAACAACUGCAUCGAAUUUAAACUAUCUUUAUAUCAUUUAGUAUAUGUUCGGAUUCUCUAAAGGACACAGAAAUAUUAGUUUAAACGGCACACAAUUUGGUUCCCAUCAACAUUUUCUGUGCAACUUGGAUAUGGGAGCAUCUAUUCCCUUCUCAGGUCCAAUAAAAGGCGGAAACUGUAUUCUCUCUCUGUAAUGGAGAUGUUAAUUGUCGAUUCAUCGUGCAAAAAGCAUAUUCAAAGGGUGAUAAAUAAUCACUUGGAAUCCCACUUGCCCCAUGCCUAUUUAUUUAUACGUUUCUGCAAUGACAUAUAAAUAUAUGAGUGCCAGAAACAACCAAGAAGGCUAAGGAAAUAUACAUACCUUGAUGACAAAACUCUCAACAAUAUUAUAAUCUGUGUCCGACGCAUGUGUGCCUCUAAUGUCUUCGUUUUCCCCCCUUUCUUAUUUCUUUCUUUUUUACUAGGAAGAACUAUUAAAUAUAUAUAAUUACCAAUUGAUAACGAUAAACUUCACAUAAAAAAUAUCGGGCCUUCCAUGGUCUACUAUGAAAUUGGAUCUAUGAGCUGGAAGUUUCUAAAAAAUUAAGUCCCUCAUAGAACAAAAAACUAUUCAAUACUAAAAUUAGUACUUGUGGAGAAGAAAAAGAUGAUGUAUAGAAAAAGAAAAGUAAAAGCAUGUUAUGUGUGUAUCUAGGUUUAGUCUUUGUCUGGCUCUAUCCAAAGUUGGUCUCUACUUGGUGAGACCGAGUAUAUUUAUACACCUAGCUUAGAAUUUCUACAUGGAUAAGAAAAUCAUUGCAUUUGCCACCCAAGAUGGUUCAUCCAUUGAUACGAGCGCGCAGUUAUGAGUUUUGUGCUUGGUACAUGAUUGGAGGAGAAGUUAAUGUAUUAGAGUGAUUGAGUUUAUUUAUUUUUAUUGGCCUUCACGAAGGCUAGAAGUAGGUGUACUAGAAGGGUAACUAUUGGUGAUGGAACACAAUGUAUGUCUUGCAAAUAUUGUGUGUGCAAGACAUAAAAAAUGUGUGCUAUAUGUGAAAUUGUCAAAUAAUUAUUCAUAAAAUAGUAGGGGUGAGUAAAAAAAUUUUAAAAAUAGAAAAACAAAUAAUCGAAAAAACCGAACCAUGAAAAAAAUCUAAUUAAACUGAUUAGAAUUUUUAAAAAACCGACUGGUUCGGUUUUAUAAGCCUGAAAUCAAAAAAAUUAACUUGAACCUAAACCGAAAAAAAACCAAGCCAAACUAAAAAAACCAAAAAAACUAGUUUUUGUUCUAAAAUAACUGAAAUCAGUUGGUUUGAACUGGUUUUAGUUCAAUUUUGGUUUUUUUUGAAAAAAAACCAGUUUGGUUAAUUUUUUUAUAUAAAAACCGAACCAAACCGAACCGAACAUAAUCGCCCCUAUAAAAUAGUAUAUAGAGGUGUGUGACAUGUAGCUUUAUUUGUUAAGAGAGAGAGAGAGAGAAAGAGGGGAAAAUGGGUUACUCGCUAGUCAGGUGACCCGCGAGGUUGGGUAGCCCAAAAAUAAGGCGACUACGUUGGUUGCCCUUACUUGGGCGACCUCGUUAGUUAGUCCUUUAGAGCAACUAGCAAGUUUGGUUGCUUAGGCUGGUCUUAGCGACUGGUAGGGCCUAAAUAAUUUUUUAAAAAAAGAAAAAACUUUGGCUUAUUAAGGAAUCCUUUUUCUAUAUAAUAUUAAUAAAAAACACUAAAAGAUGAGGGAUUUCAUUGUACCAUUUUUUUACAAAGCACUAUUCAUUGGAAUAAUGCUUUGUUUUUGUUAUUUUUGCUUUUUUUCCAAUCAAUGCUUCUUUUUUUUCAUUUUCAUUCUUCAAUAUUAGAUUUGUUUUUUAAGAGAUUUUACUGUAUUCUUCUCACAAAACACUAUUAGAAUAGUGCUUUUUUUUUUCUUUUGAUAUAUUUUUUUCAAUCAAUGUUUUAUUUUAAUUUCAUUCUUUAAUAUUGAUUUACUUUUAGGGAUUUUAUUUUACCUCUCCUCAUAAAUCAUCAUUUCAGUUUCAGCCUUCAAUAUUGAAUUUGCUUUUUACGGGAUUUUAUUGUACCUCUCCUCAUAAAGCACUAUUAGAAUAAUGCUUUGUUUUUUUUUUCUUUGAUUUUUUUUUCGAGUUAUUUUUUUUUAAUUUCAUUCUUCAAUAUUAGAUUUACUUUUUAUGGGAUUUUAUUGUACUUCUCCUCACAAAAUACUAUUCAUUGGAAUAGUGCUUUGUUUUUUUUCAAUCAAUUCCUUUUUUUUUUCAAAUUCAUCCUUCAAUAUUGGAUUUGAUUUUUAUUGGGUUAUCCCAAUCUCAGGAAAACAAAUUACAGGUUUGGCGGGUUAACUCGAUUGACUGAGUUUUUUUUUCUUUUUUUUAAUUUAUUUUUUCCUAAUCUCAUCAUUUAAUAUUGGGUUGAUUGAGAAUUAAGUUUCAUGAUUAGUUUUGAUUUACUUUCUAUUAGAUUAUCUUAGCCUUAUGUCCCAGGGAUAGUGUUUAACGAGUUAAACCAAGUUGACUCAUGUUAUUUUUUAUGUCCUUUUUUUAAUUGAUUUUUUCCAAUUCAGCAUUCAACAUUGAGUUGGUUGGGAAUUGAUCAGUUUCAUAAUUUAUUUUGAUUUAUUUUUCAUGAGAUUAACUUGGUUUCAUGAAAUAAACAACAAAAUAAUCCACCGACAAUUAAGGUGCAUUUCUGAUAAAAUAGGUGAUGGAAUAUUCUGUCGGCAAUUAAGGUUGCCGACGGAAUUUUUGAUGGCAAAUGGACAGUAAAAUCUAAAUUUUUAUGUGUAAAUAUAUUGUUGGCAAUACCAUCAAAAAAAGGAAGUUCCGAAGGAAUCAACGACGAAAAAAAAUUCCCAACAAGCAUCUUGACGACAACAUGUUUCUAUCAGCAAUUCUAUCGGUAUCGUAAUUGUCGACAAAAGUUUUUCAUGGAAUAUUCCAUCAUCUUUUUUCAAUUUUCUGGUGGUAAUAUAUGAUACGGUGAAUUUAUAGUAGGAGUUCUAAAAAAACACAUCAAUUAAACUCCACGUUUCUACUGUUAUCCUUGUAAUUCUACGUUAAACGAAUCAAUUUUUAAAGGCUAGUUGGGUAGGUGCUGGGGAGGAAAGAUUCCACCCUUGGAGAGCUAAAAUAGGUCAAUGAAAAACACACAUUUGCUACCGGCAGGGUGAUUCAAGAACAAGAUAGAAUUUUAAGCCUAAAUGACUGAAGGGCAUUGACCAUAAACAAGUACUGGAGUAGAAAAUAGAGUCCCCACUCGUGCUGAAGCCAAUUACCAAACAUGUGAUAGCAGUACCAUAUAUAUGACUGUUGUGUCAGCUGGCUUUUCAUUUAACUUUGUUGAAAGUUGGAGCCAUUUUCAAGUAUGUUUGCCUUUUCCUUUACAGAAAAAGGGAGACGGAGAGGGAGACCCAAUCCCCUAGCUACUCUACAUAUGAAUAUAUUGAAUAGUAUAACCUGUCCUAUCCCAUCCAACGUGCAUUAUAGGAGCCUGUCUACCUUUUUGUCACUCACAUUUGUUUGUAUGUUGCAGGGAGGCAAAGAUAAUUUUGAGGGGCUUGCGGUAGGACAACUUCAAGUCUUCAAUGCAAAUACAUGAAUCCCCAGUAGCAGUAAAAUCAAGAUUAAAUUGAAGUAGUUUUGAAGCACAUAAAAAUAAGUUUUUCCUGCAUUCAUUUUUAUAUCACUGAUCUUCCAAAACUUAAUACAUUAUAUAUAGAUCCCAAUACUUGCAGUACUACUGCCUGGUCAUCAUUAAUGAAGAUGUCCCAUCUAGCUAACGAGAAAACAGGAUUCCUGAGAUAACAUCCUGCUAUCACUUAACACAUAUCUCUCUGGUAUUCACCAGUAUUAUUAUUAUUAUUAUUAUUAUUAUUAUUAUAUAUGAUUAUUAUCAUUUUUUUUGGUUUUUUGAGAUCAUAAGUAACCCCAGAGAAAAUAUCUCAACCUCCAUGUACACGAAUGAGUUUAUAAACUCAUGUGACACCAAAUCUACCACAGCUCUUUCCUGGGUAGUGGAUACCCUAGCUUCUAGCUUCUUAAUAAUUAAUUCGGAAAUUCUUGAUUCUUCUCCACAACUCUCACCCCAUUAGUAGAUCUAAGCGCAUUUGCCUGUUUUGAGUAGAGAAAAACAAACAAGAGAGAAAAUGAGAAGCGAGUGUUUUGGACAAAUACUCAUUAAACAAACUACAUGUUGCAUAAAAGUCACCUGGUCUUCAGUGAUUUCUACUGCAAAACCAUCAACAAUGAUCAAAGAUAUUGUCUUCUUGUAGCUGCCAUGCGCAAGGGUGUUUGCCAAUAACUCAUCAUGCUUCCUGCUCAGAUACAUGUCGAGCUCAUAUGCUCCUCUCUUUGUCCUGUGAUACACCAACAAGAAAAAGUUUAAUGUUAGAUAGCUAGCUAGAGAUCCAAAGAAUGAUACAAUGCAUCUUAUAAUUAACAUUUUCUAACUAAUAAUGUCAUGAUGACUGACCGAUCAUUUCGAAUGCGCUCAUAUUCAGGAUCAUAGUCCAUGAAAACAAAAUAUCUCUCCCUUUCUUUACUCCCCAUUUCCUCUGCUUUCUUUGAUCAUAUGAUGCCUUUCAGCGAUCCAUACCUGGUAGCUAUUUAUAUAGAGUUUCCGGCUUACUUUGGAGUCAAAAGAGAGGUUCACCUUUUUUUCUUAUUGUGACGAAAAAAUAUUCACCAGAGGAUAAAAUAACAGUAGUGAUUUCUUAGUCCUUCUAGUCUUAAAUAUUUUUUAUCUAGCAGUAACUUUCAUCUUUUUUCUUUUAGACUCGAAUGAUUCAAUAGGAUUUGAAGAUCUGAAUUUAUAACGUGACCCUACCUGCUCUAGUGCUAGAUAAUGCUUAAUUAACAUCUUGACUAAGGAAGCACCGUCAUUUGAUUCGCAUUUGGAUCGAAGUUCCCGUCUAGGGUUAGUGGCACCAGUUAAAAAAAAAAAAAAAAAACUUGUGGAAGACAAGUGAUCAGUUCAUGCUACUUUAAUUAACUACUUUAAUAAUUUAAUCAAUUAUAUAUACUCUAAUGAACAACUCUAGAGGGGCUCAAUCAUAAAUUAUAUGCUCUCCGCCUCGUCAAAUGGGAUUUAACUCCAGAAGCCAGGUCAUGAGGACGUCUUUUCUCAUGAGUUUUAACUUGUUUUACUUUACAAAGGGCUUGUCUUCAUCAAAAUAAGAAGGUUGGAUUUAAUCUUGAUAAACACAGUCGCGUCUGUGAACUGAUAUCUCUUGGUAUACAUGGGAGAGAUAAUAUAUGGUGAACGCAGGAAAAGAUUGUGUUCCAUCCGAGCUGUUGUUUCAUGGAAAUAGUAGCAAUUUGGCUGAUACUCACGACAAGUGUGACCUUUUAAUUAUUUGGUUGACAGACAAGAGCUACUGUUUGACAAGAGGCACUAAGGAUACAUGCAUACACCAAAAAUUCAAAAGAAAAGGUGAUAUGAGACUGAUACCUAUAAAGAGAAGCAUACGGCCAUUUAAUCUUCUCCUUCAUUUACCAAUCAUUUUUUACAUGGGAGCGGAGAUCGAUCCAGCAGUCAAGACCCGAUCAUCCAGUCAAAUAAAUAUUUUCCACCACAUGGGUGCUCAUUAUAUCCAAGUACAUCAUGCCACUGCUCCAGCCUCAAGCCUAGAUAGAUCAUGUUUUUCUAAUCAAUCCUACUGUUUGUUAUAAAUGACACUAGGAUGCCCUGCUAUUUUCGAAGCUACAAUGAUGGCCCCCUCUUUGAAUAUUGAAUUUUUUUGGUCUGUGAAUAGUUUGUGUGGGGAAUUAUCACACACGUAUAGUACUGUAUAAGAGUUUAAAAGAAAAGAUGAGGAAAAAAUAAGAAAGAAAGAAGGGUAGAGAAGAUGAGGUUUCUUUUAGUUUCAGAUACUAUUUGAUGAUCAUGGAUGAUGCAUCUGGACUUCUGAGAAAUUUAGGGUUAGAGUUGAAGGGAAACAUUUCUACAUUUAGAGGGAUUAAACUAAUUUAUAGGAUCCUCAGCCCUCUUCAAACCCAUCUUAUUUCCUUACCGGAAAAAAAAACAACAGGAAAAGAAAAAACAAAUACCAAAUCAAAAGAAUUGCACAGCUCAUUAACUUUCCAUUCCAUUGAUUUCGAAAGGGUCGUGUUCCCUUUGGAGCAAAUAUUUACAAGGAUAUUGUGGUACGUACAUCAACUUCAGUUUGUAAUUGUAUACUACAUAGUCUUGGGAUUAAAAGAAAAUCCAUCCUUAAUGCCCUGACUAUAUAUGAAUUGCGUCAGCUUAAACACCUCCAUUUUCAAGAAGUCAAAAAAAAAAAAAAAAACACCCAACCUAGACCAAGUAAUAAGCUGGCUAAGAAGUACGGAUACGAUAUUUUAGAAUUACCGAAACUAUUUUUACAGUUUUAAAUUUUGCAGUUGACUCGCGCUUUGUGGUGGGUUGGAUAAUUCGUUUUUGCAAAAAAAUAAAUAUGUAAGUUUUUUUUCCCCCUCAAGGAAAGCUACAGUGAUCCCUACGAGUAGGUACAGAUUCCAUGUACAGUCUGCAACAAUAUGUGGUGGGCCACCACCAUCUGAACCUCCAUGUGUCAAAGAGAUAUGGUUGGAAGGUAGGGGACGACCGCUGGAGACACAGAGGAUGCUGGGCAUGAAAGAGUGUGGGAGUACGUGUGCAGUUUUGGUUGGUAAAUAAAAUAAAGGCACUGAGGGGAGAGGAGACAGUUCUGUACGCUCGUGUGUUUGGUAUUUGACAGCUGUCAGUCACAUGGGGUCCGCUGACUUUAAUGAGGCUCUGGUCAGUAGAAGAAUCCACACGAGAAAAGCUGCAGCGCAGAGACCUAGCAACACUGAACCAAUGGGAGUGUGAUUCUCUGCCUGCUACUCCUGCUAUUCUACUGUCAACUUGCCACCUCUCAGGGCCCACAAUGCUGUCAAUGUCAUUGCCCCCCGGACCUGAUUUCAUCACUAAAUAUUGUUUUUGUAAGCUCUGUGUGUGUGUGUGUGUGUGUUAUAAAAGGUUAAGAUUUACAAACGAAGUGUUAAGAAUGUUAAAUAAUAUUAAAAGAUGAAAUAUUAAGGAUGUUUGAAGGGUCACAAUAAAAAUCAAAUCAAGUCUUAAAUUAAAUUAAAUAUGAUUAUAAGAAAUUAAAUAAUUUAUAUUUAUGGUCUAAAACAAAAUUGAAGGGGAUGAAAAAAAAAAGAAUAUAAUAGUGUUAAAUUGUAAAAAAAGGAGGUAAGGGAACAAAACUAAAAGAAAAUCCCCCCCUCCCUCCCCAAAGUUGAAACUUAACUCAAAAAUUAAAAUUUAACCUCCAUUAAAAAUUCUCCCGAACUUAAGUAAAGGCGUGAAAAAUUACAAGGGUGAGUUUUCACCCCUUCACUCUCCUACCAAGCAUGUCCUUAAAAAAAUUAAAAUAGCAAUGUUCCACUCCAAACUUUAUACACCCGAUAUUAAUUAUAUAUAUAGUUUUUAAGAAAUUUCAAUAUGAGUCUUAGUCGUUGAAGGAAAAUGAUAAAUAGCAAGAACAAAUUGAAAAGAUUGAGUCAUUAAUUGGAUCACAUAAUCUUAACAUGGGAUUCAAUGAUAGAUUAUGUAAAUCUUAAUGGUCAAGAUCACUCAUAGUUGAAUUAUUUUUCAUCUUUUAAAGAGAUUUGUGAUCAGAUACCAUCUCGUACAUGGAAAUUUGGAAAAAUUAAUAAAUAGGAGAAAAACAAGAAAAAAUGAAAGAAAAAUAAAUAAGGAAAGGGCAUUCCUUUAAUUAAUUCAGUAUCUAUAUAUAUAUUUAAUGACUACGUACGGAUGACAUGGCAACUUUUUUCAAUAUUUGAACAUUUUAGACUAAGUUUAGACAAAUGAGAAUUCCAACUAGUAGAGAGACAAAAUUAUGUCUAAGCAAACUAUGCAGAUUUUGUCAUCUUUAACAGUUGAUGAUCGAUCUGAUUUAGAGUAGAGAACUAUUGAAUGUACCGACCAGAGAGCAAGUUGAUUAAUUUUUAUUAAGGAUUUUGUCUUCUCGAGCUAAUAAUUAGCUUUUCAAUAUAUAUAUAUAUGUAUUGUAUUGUAUUGUAUUGUGUGUUGUAUUGUACUCUUGUAUUUGACGUAUUCCUCUGUCUUUGGUUUUGUUUCAGGCUUUCAGGGCUAAUUAACUUGCAAAUUCCUUUUUUAUUAUAUUAUGUCUCAUCUUCUCUCCAACAGAAAAUGUUUGUUAUUUUAGCUUAGACAGUGAUUUUUUUAUUUUAUUUUAUUUAUUUUAUUAUGAGCAUGUAUACAUGUAAAACACAAUUUUAUUUUAUUUUCUUACAUAUUCAUAUGUAGAAGUAAAGUAGACAUAUAUAAAGAUUAAAAAUAUACUUCAGAAAUUAGAAUUACAAGUAAACUACAUUAAUAACAUAACCUUGUCACUUGUUGUAGCUAGUAAGAACAAUGCCUAAAAUAAGGAAACAAAUAUGUGAGUACUGAUUAAAAUCUACAAAUAAUAUUUAGUCAAUCUUUUUCUUAUAUAUAUAUAAUAUCGAUUUUAGGAACAAUAGAGAGUAUCUUUAAUCAUAAUAUCCGGCAAAGUCUUAGCAAUAACAGACAGUGAUGCAUGAAAACAACAUGAAGUUAGGGUUUUUGUUUCGGCUUCUCACAAUUGAAACCUUUAUUUUAUUUAAAUAAUUUAAAUGAAAUCUCAAGAUAUAAUUUAUAUUAUUUUCUAAUAUAUCUUCUUAAGUGAAAACCUUUAAAUUUUAAACUUAUAAAAGUUUAUAUUACCUUGUGUUUAUUUUUUAUCAAAUAGAUAUGAUGAGAUUCAAACUCGUAAUCGUUUGAUCAUCAAAAUUCUGAUAACAUAUUAAAAAAUCAUCACAACUUAAUAAUUUAAAUUAUUAAAUAAAAUCUCAAAUAUAAUUUAAAUUUUUCUCUAAAUCAAUAAAAACAUCUCUCUGCCACCGUAAGUCAUAAUAAUCAACAAGUCUGCUUGCAUUUAUGCAGCCUCGUAGACACGCAUGCAAAUUUAUUCGUUCUAUUUUUAUAAUAAUAAUAAUAAUAAUAAAAAGAAAAAAAAACAUUUGUUUCCUUUAAAACAUUACACGUAAAGCUGCAAGCAAUUAUUCGAUCUAUUUAAUCAAAAGUACAUCUCCAAGACGCCUCAAGGUCUGUUCUAUUGGAGGCCUAGCUUCCGGCACCUUGUCUGCACAUUUCAAUGCAAUAUCCAAAACAAGCAAAGCUUGCUUCCUUUCUUUGCCCUCCACAAUAAAUUCAAAAAACUCGAUAUCACCUUUCUUUAUCUCUUCCAUUCUUUCCAUUACGCCAUUCCUGAAAUCUCUAACUCUUGGCCCUCCUAGCAUGUCCAGCAAUAAAAUACCAAAGUUGAGAAUAUCACUUUUCUGACUCAAUUUGUUGGUGUAAGGACUUUCAGGCGAGGGGGGCGGCUUUCUUUGCCAAGUAUCGGAAACUUCCUCCAGUUCUCCAGCCAGUUGAGUGAGGCCGUAAUCGGACAAGCGGGCGGUGAAGUUAACAGUUAUCAUGACAUUGGAGGAUUUUAUGUUCCCGUGCACGUUCAUCAGCAUGUUCUUUUCAUACGGAGGGUAUUGUGUGUGAAUAAAUGUAAUUGCUUGUGCAAUGUCUAGAGCUAUUCUUAGCCUUUGAUUCCAAUCCAAGGCAGUGUGACCGCAUUCCCUUCCACCUCAAUUAGUCAACAAAUAGGGCAUAAAAACAGAUUCAGUUCACAGAUAUUUCUCUCUUCAAAGCAUCAAGUCCAAUUUUUCCAGAAGGAAUUUUUAUCCUAGGCAAUUCAAAAAUAGCCUGAGUCUUUUGAAGUUUGAACCGAAGUAAUUAUCUCUUUCGAAUAAAAAAAUUUUUAUAUAAAAUCUCAGAAUUAUACAUGAACUAAUGUGGCAAGUGUUGUAUACAUGAUCGUAACUCUUCGUAUGAGUGGGACAAUAUCAUUAAUUUGCAUCAAAUUAAAUGCUCUCUUGUAGCUGUAAAAUUUUUCUUCAUGAUUUUUUUUUUCUUUUGUAUAGUCUUAAUUAUCGUAUUUCAUAAUGUUCUGUUGAUGUUGUUUAAAAAAAAAUCCAAUUUCUAUCAAUUAAGAUAAAUGAAGAUUAUUCUAAAGAAAAAAAAGAAAAGGAAAGGAAAAUUAAUUCCCAUGAAAUUCAUCACUAUCAUGAUGUGGCUUAAUUUUCUCUUAUAAUCACCCUGGCAUGAUCACUUUAGGCAUCAAGCAAUCAUUACUCAUUGAAAAAACAAUUUCAAAAGAAAAAGGAAUAAAUAUAUGUAUAAAGUAUUGAGCUAUAUAUUGUAAAGGUGUUUGUAAACUCACCAGCGAGCAAGUCAGCAAGGCUUCCCAUGGGGAAAUAAUCAGAGACAACAAACUUGAUCCUCUUUGUGUAUAGGUAAGCAAUGACAGGGACAAGAUAUUCACACCUCUUGCUCACCUGAGCUAACCUCUCGAUUCUCUUACCAAACUCACGCCUCCUAACACGCAAUGCCCUAAACCUCUUCAGUGCAUAAACUUUGCCUCGUAACAAAACCACCUUUUCAGUCAUCCCUAAAGGGCUCUCUCCCAUGACACCAACAGAAGCCCUUAAGGUCUCCCUUAAGCUCAGGCGGGACACACUUUCUCCACAAAAAAACAAAGGCCGAUCAUCCAUGAACCCUACUAGGCAAUCUUCAGAAUCUAGCAUCGACGUCCCUGAUUUGCUUUCAUUAUCUCCGUGUUUAGGGCUCUUUUUGGGCUUGGUAAAGGCUCUCGAUAACAUUCUUUUGAGACUUCGAGAGGUUUGUGAAGAAAAUGUGUGGUUUUCUUUGGUUUAAGCUGGUUUCUCUUCCGACUAGUUUGACAAUAUUGGUUAUUUUUAUAGAAAAUAUCGAGUCUAGGGUGCUGGCACUUUGUUUUCUUUUUAUGGUCCAAAAAUUGAAUCUUGAGGAAAAUUCUUCAAUAAGUUUUGAUUCGUUAAACCGGCUUUGGGGAGAACAUUAUAUAAUCUUGUCACUAAAAUUUUUAUUGGCUAUGAUGGCUUUGGGGACGUCUUUAUAAUUUGUUUGGUGUGGACUUGUAUCGAGUGCAGCUAGAUCCAUGGAGUCUUUUCCUAUCACUGAAUUCAUCACGGCUGGAAAUUAAAAAAGUAUUUGCACGACCGUCCGAUCUGAGAGUGGAAGGGCCAAGGAGCAGCUAGGAUUCGAGGAGGAUCGGAUCAACUGGGUGUUUCUGAAAAGCAUGGCAUGUAAAUGAACCACGGGCAAAACAGGACAUGCUCAGAUCCCAGUAAUUGGGCUUUCCAAAACUUUUUUUGAAGGCCCAAGCCUGGUCAUACACUUUUUUUAAUUGGAAAAUGAACCAACUUUCCUUCUUCUUUUUUUCCUAGUUCGGCCCAGUUAAUCCAUUAGAAUUUACGGCCCAGCUAAAUUUUAGGAUUAAAAAAAAAUGAUGAUGAUGAUUAGAAUGAUUCUCCCUUUUAAAAAAAUAAUUUUUUUUGAUAGCAUGCAUCUAGACUUGAGGAUCUGAUGGAGUAAUUAGAGAUGCGUGUGUUUAUAGAGGUGAGAAAAAAAUUAAAAAAACUGAAUUGUAAAAAAAAAAAGAUUAAAAUUUUGAAAAAACUAACAGGUUCGGUUUUGGUUUUAUAAAUUUAAAACUGAAAAAACCAAAUCGAACCCAAACCGAAAAAAAACUGAGCCAAACGGAGCCAAAACCGAGCCAAAUCGGUUUAAACCGGUUUUGUCAUAAAAACCGAACCAAACCGAAACUGGCCUGUUUGAACUAGUUUUGGUUCGGUUUUGGUUUUUUUUUUUAAAUCGGUUUGGUUACUUUUUUUAUAUAAAAAUCGAACCGAACUGAAAAUAAUUACCCAUACAUACUCCACUUUUUAAAAUUUUAAAAUUUAAAUUCUAGAGUCAAUAAGUAAAUGGAUUUUUUUAAAAUUAUUUUUAAACGCGUAGGUUAACAAGGAAGCAUACUCUUAAGAUAGUUUGAGAAAGGAAAUUGAUUUUUUUAGUUUAACGUGGGUGUCCGGGCCAGCUUGUGCGCACCUCGACUAAUUCCACUGGCCCUAAAGUUAACGACCAUGUAAGCCUCCAGUGGCCAUCAUAUGAGCAACCACAGGGCUCGAACUUGAGUCCACAGAGGAAGCAAACAUCUUGGUCCCAAACUUUUACCACUGAGCCAUCACCUAGAUAAUUAUCUAAUUAAUUUUAAUUAAUAUAUAAAUUGAUCUGAAAAUAAUGGAGACAUGUUAUCUAAUUAAACGAAACUAGGAUCUUGACCAUGAAGUAUGAACAAUAUAAUUAUAUGACAGAUAGUUUCCAACUUUACACGCAACCCAUUAUGCCAGGUGGACUUUAUUGAAAAGAGACCACCUUAACGCGUUCCUUUUUUAAAUAACCCAUUAUGCCAGGUGGAGUUUUUAAUUCCGGAAUGACGUCAGUUUGCACGCCUUUAUUAUAAGCCCCACGUUCUGCUUGGACCUUGUUGGAUGAUGAUCCUAUUUCUCCUUUUCAGGUACAGUGCUAGUUUGAUUUUACACAUUUUAAAAGUGUUUUUUUUUAAAAAAAAUUAAUUUUAUUUUUUAUUUUUUUUAAUUAUUUUAAUGUGUUAAUAUCAAAAAUAAUUUUUUAAAAAUAAAAAAUAUAUUAUUUUGAUUUAUUUCAAAAUAAUACUUUAAAAAACAUUCGAUACUAUAAUACCAAACUAGCUCGCGAUCUUACACAUUCGAGAGUUAUUGAAAGUUGGAGUUGCCGAUUAUAAGCAUGAUUUAAAAAAAAAAUAGCUUAGUAAAACAUUUAGAAAAAAAAUAUAGGUUUAAAAAUAUUUAGGAAAUAGCAUAGCUUGAAUACGAUCGUGUUUUUUAGUAUUAUUUUUAUACAAGAUCGUUAUUCUCAAUAAGGGUUAUUUAGUUAUAUUUUGAAACGUCUUAAGAUUGAAAAUCCAAUGAUUAAGAAAGAGAGAGGAGAUGAGAUGAUGUGAUAGGAAAGAAAAAUUAAAAAGAAAAAGAAAGAAUGAGUCAUCAUGAACACAUCAAGACUCUGUUUGUACACACAUAAUACCGUUAAAAAAUUCUCGACAUGACGAUUCUAACUACACAUGAAAUAUCACCAAACAAAAUCAUAAAUAACCAUAAAUUAACCUCACCAGGUCUUUCAAAGUUUGGUUAGAAUCCUCUCGUUAAGAUAUUUGUAAUAGUAAUAAGUGUGUCAUAAAUAGAGUAUUGAUUUCUUCCUGGUGACGCAUUUUUUCUUUCUCAUUUUUCUAAAUUCUUAUCUCUUAUGUCGAAUUAGUUUAUCUCAUCUUUCUUUUCUAGUCAUCAAAUUUUGAAUCUCAUUUCUUAACAAUUAAUUUUUUAUAAAAUUCUGGUUUGAUUUUUUUCAUUUUAAUUAAUUUGAAUAAAACAUGAAUUUUAAAACAACCAAUACUAUGAUAUUUUGCUAAUACUUUUUUAGAACUACGUAGAAUGGUAAAAAUACGUGGCCCAUUGGUUGUAUGGUAACGGUAGAUAUACGGGACAGCACCUACAAUUAAUGGCAUGAAUGUAAUUAACUGGCCAAACCCACCCUGGAUGAGAGCACACCCUCUGGUCAACGCACAACAAAUUUCUCAUACACGCAAACUGUAUCCCAAUCUUACCAUUCUCAACAAAAUAAAGAAGUAAUACUCUUCUUCCCUUAGCACCAGCCCCUUGAUCAAUUCAACACACAAAUCCGAUCGACAAGCGAAUCCUUUCUUUCUCCAUUCCCACUGGUCGGCAUACCGUCUUGCCCGCUGCCCGCCUUUUUCCCUCCUUUCCCACUAGCCCCCUCGUUCUAUAUAAACCUCCACACAUUGACCAUAACCUUUUAAUCUCAAAAUGUUCGUCAAACUCACCGUCACCGUUCUUUUCUUUCUAUGCGCCGUCGCUUAUUCUCGUACUCCGUCAGAUCUACCAGAUGGGGACUUCACUCUACCCGAAUUACCAAGAUCCGAUCCGAAAGCCACGCCUGUUCUCUUCCUCCCAAGCCAGAAACCCGAAACUAGUGAGCCCGCAACUGAAAUAAAGUAUCCAGCUGAUGUAGAAAUCGAGGAGCAAAAGGAACCAGGAUCGUCAUCAACGGAGGUGAAGACGGAAUCGAUUGAGACAGCGGUGCCGCUAACAGUCGUGACUUUCCGUCCAACAAACCUUCACUUCUUGCCUCGACGCCCGUUACUCCCGGUACGCCAUCGUCACGGAUGCCGUCACGGGCACAAUAUGAUGAAGCCGCGUUUCUACGGUAAUGAUAUGGUUGUAUCCGGUGAGAAGGAUGAUGGUUUUGAACUUGGUGAUCAUCAGGCGACACGUGGCGUUGUUAGGCAGAUUCCUGCUAGGUGGACCAGGUUUCACCAUGGGGGUCAGAGGUUUUCUUUCUAUGAUGACGUGGCAAAUGGAGAGGAGAGGGAGUGGGGCCACAAGAAGCAUCACAAGCACCACCAUGUUGAAGGAGAAGAGGAGCAUGAGCAUGAGCAUGAGCAUGAGCAUGAGGAGCAUGAUCAUGAGCAUGAUCACGAGGAGCAUGAGCAUGAGCAUGAGGAGCAUGAUCAUGAGCAUGAUCACGAGGAGCAUGGGCACGGGCACGGGCACGGGCACGAUCACGAGCAUGAGCAUGGGCACGAUCACGAGGAGCACGGGCACGGGCAUGAGGAGCACGGGCACGAGCAUGAGCACGAGGAGCAUGAGCAUGAGCAUGGGCAUGGGCAUGGACAUGAGCAUGAGGGGCAUGGGCAUGGACAUGAGCAUGAGGGGCAUGGGCAUGAAUGGGGAUUGUUCAAGGGGAUUCGCAAGUUUUUGAAGCAUAAUUUUUGAGGAGAUUUGGAAGGUAUUAAUGUUAUUAUAAAUAUAUUAUGGGGGUGUUUAAGUAUGUGUAUUGUAUUGUUUUGUGUUGUGGUUAAGUAAUGUA
This 27469-nucleotide long non-coding RNA is filed under the name Populus trichocarpa (black cottonwood). Its description in RNAcentral is "long non-coding RNA (PTRI_LNC000988)". The record is from RNAcentral. Lineage: Eukaryota; Viridiplantae; Streptophyta; Magnoliopsida; Malpighiales; Salicaceae.